RNAcentral lists this ribosomal RNA (101 nucleotides) under Lobaria orientalis. RNAcentral describes it as "partial 28S ribosomal RNA". It matches the Rfam family "Eukaryotic large subunit ribosomal RNA", at positions 1 to 99 of the family's 3401-position model. Lineage: Eukaryota; Fungi; Ascomycota; Lecanoromycetes; Peltigerales; Lobariaceae. The record is from RNAcentral.
GUUUGACCUCGGAUCAGGUAGGGAUACCCGCUGAACUUAAGCAUAUCAAUAAGCGGAGGAAAAGAAACCAACAGGGAUUGCCUCAGUAACGGCGAUGAACG